AGAGUUUGAUCCUGGCUCAGGACGAACGCUGGCGGCGUGCAUAACACAUGCAAGUUGAACGAGAAAUCUUNUCGGAAUUCUUCGACGGNAAGAGGAGAUGGAAAGUAGCGGACGGGUGAGUAACGCGUGAGAAACCUGCCUCACACAAGGGAAUAGCCAUUGGAANCGUGAUUUAAUACCNUUAUGACAUGGACGCUUCGCAUGGAGCAGCCAUUUAAAGUGUUAGCGGUGUGAGAUGUUCUCGCGUCUGAUUAGCUAGUUGGUGAGAUAUNAGCUCACCAAGGCGACGAUCAGUAGCCGGCUUGAGAGAGUGAACGGCCACACUGGAACUGAGACACGUCCCAGACUCCUACGGGAGGCAGCAGUGGGAAUAUGNNCACAAUGGAGGAAACUCUGAUGCAGCGACGCCGCGUGAGCGAAGAAGGCCUUCGGGUUGUAAAGCUCUGUCCUUGGUGAAGAUAAUGACGGUAGCCAAGGAGGAAGCCCCGGCUAACUACGUGCCAGCAGCCGCGGUAAUACGUAGGGGGCGAGCGUUGUCCGGAAUUAUUGGGCGUAAAGGGUACGUAGGCGGUUUUUUAAGUCAGCAGUUAAAGCGCGGGGCUCAACCCCGUAAAGCUGUUGAAACUGGAGAACUUGAGAGAUGGAGAGGAAAGUGGAAUUCCUAGUGUAGCGGUGAAAUGCGUAGAUAUUAGGAGGAAUACCGGUGGCGAAGGCGACUUUCUGGACAUCAACUGACGCUGAGGUACGAAAGCGUGGGGAGCAAACAGGAUUAGAUACCCUGGUAGUCCACGCCGUAAACGAUGAGUGCUAGGUGUCGGGGGUCAAACCUCGGUGCCGUCGUUAACACAGUAA
RNAcentral lists this ribosomal RNA (852 nucleotides) under uncultured bacterium. Its description in RNAcentral is "bacterial SSU rRNA". It matches the Rfam family "Bacterial small subunit ribosomal RNA", at positions 8 to 863 of the family's 1533-position model. The record is from RNAcentral.